This 250-nucleotide ribosomal RNA is filed under the name uncultured bacterium. RNAcentral describes it as "partial 16S ribosomal RNA". It matches the Rfam family "Bacterial small subunit ribosomal RNA", at positions 524 to 773 of the family's 1533-position model. The record is from RNAcentral.
UACGGAGGGUGCAAACGUUGCUCGGAAUCAUUGGGCGUAAAGCGCACGUAGGCGGCCUGAUAAGUCGGAUGUGAAAGCCCUAGGCUUAACCAAGGAAGUGCAUUCGAAACUGUCAGGCUUGAGUAUGGGAGAGGGUUGCGGAAUUCCCGGUGUAGAGGUGAAAUUCGUAGAUAUCGGGAGGAACACCAGAGGCGAAGGCGGCAGCCUGGACCAAUACUGACGCUGAGGUGCGAAAGCGUGGGGAGCAAAC